UGGGGAAUCUUGGACAAUGGGCGCAAGCCUGAUCCAGCCAUGCCGCGUGAGUGAUGAAGGCCUUAGGGUUGUAAAGCUCUUUUGCCGGGGACGAUAAUGACGGUACCCGGAGAAUAAGUCCCGGCUAACUUCGUGCCAGCAGCCGCGGUAAUACGUAGGGACCAAGCGUUGUUCGGAUUUACUGGGCGUAAAGGGCGCGUAGGCGGCAUGACAAGUCACUUGUGAAAUCUCUGGGCUUAACCCAGAACGGCCAAGUGAUACUGUCGCGCUAGAGUGCAGAAGGGGCAAUCGGAAUUCUUGGUGUAGCGGUGAAAUGCGUAGAUAUCAAGAGGAACACCUGAGGUGAAGACGGGUUGCUGGGCUGACACUGACGCUGAGGCGCGAAAGCCAGGGGAGCAAACGGGAUUAGAUACCCCCGUAGUCCCUGAGCGGGCUGGCAAGGCGCAU
This 447-nucleotide ribosomal RNA is filed under the name uncultured bacterium. RNAcentral describes it as "bacterial SSU rRNA". It matches the Rfam family "Bacterial small subunit ribosomal RNA", at positions 355 to 825 of the family's 1533-position model. The record is from RNAcentral.